AACGCGAAGAACCUUACCAAGGCUUGACAUACACCGGAAACUGGUAGAGAUAUCAGCCCCCUUGUGGUCGGUGUACAGGUGGUGCAUGGUUGUCGUCAGCUCGUGUCGUGAGAUGUUGGGUUAAGUCCCGCAACGAGCGCAACCCUUGUUCUGUGUUGCCAGCGAGUAAUGUCGGGGACUCACAGGAGACUGCCGGGGUCAACUCGGAGGAAGGUGGGGACGACGUCAAAUCAUCAUGCCCCUUAUGUCUUGGGCUGCACACGUGCUACAAUGGCCGGUACAAAGGGCUGCGAUGCCGCGAGGCGGAGCGAAUCCCAAAAAGCCGGUCUCAGUUCGGAUUGGGGUCUGCAACUCGACCCCAUGAAGUUGGAGUUGCUAGUAAUCGCAGAUCAGCAUGCUGCGGUGAAUACGUUCCCGGGC
Molecule: ribosomal RNA, 420 nt
Filed under: uncultured bacterium
Lineage: Bacteria
Description: bacterial SSU rRNA
Rfam family: Bacterial small subunit ribosomal RNA
Source: RNAcentral